GGAAAAAUUCCCGAUCCUAAAAACGGCCGGGGUGAUUUGUUCCACAGAGCUGGAGGCAGCUUUGGAUGGAACCCUCCUCCCAAGGAAAGGAGAGCAGAGGAAAAGACUCUCCAAGGAGGAAAGGCUUUAAUGAGCUGCGAAGCCCUGAUCACCCGCGGAGAGCCGAGAUUAAUUAGGAGCUGCUGAAAGCCGAGCUCAAUUAGGAGUUUAAGCCGCUCCCGAGGUUUGUGCAGGCUCUGAGUGCGGGAAGGGCCGGGAUCGCCACUGGAUUCCUUCCCUUGGAUUCCCCGGGAUGGAGAACGAGGCUGUGCCCUCCAAAACCUGGCCCAGCUCCUCCAGGUGUUCCCAGCUCCUCCAGAAGUUCUAGCUCUUCCAGGUGUCCCAGCUCUUCCAGGUGUCCCAGCUCCUCUAGAUGUUCCCAGCUCCUCCAGGCUCCAGAUGUCCCAUCUCUUCCAGGUGUCCCAGCUCCUCUAGAUGUUCCCAUCUCCUCCAGGUGUCCCAGCUCUUCCAGGUGUUCCCAUCUCCUCCAGGUGUCCCAGCUCUUCCAGGUAUUCCCAGCUCUUCCAGGUGUUCCCAUCUCCUCCAGGUGUCCCAGCUCUUCCAGAUGUCCCAGCUCUUCAGGUAUUCCCAUCUCUUCCAGGUGUUCCCAGCUCCUCCAGACGUUCUAGCUCUUCCAGGUGUUCAGUUCUUCCAGGUGUCCCAUCUCCUCCAGACGUUCCCAGCUCCUCCAGGUGUUCUGUGUCCCUUUGGAAUGCAGUGCCUGGGUGACAGGGAGCGAGGCUGGGGAGGGGGCGUGCUCUGGAGAAGAGCCUGUGUUGGAUUCCCUGCUGGAUUUCCACCUUCCCAGCACUCCCAGGGAUUCCCUGCCUGUCCAGAGCCCGUCCUGGCUCCAUCCUCACCUCCUGGGGUGAGAUCCCGGUGCCUCCAUCAGGAUUUGGGAUCCCACAGCCUGGGAAGGAGGAGCGAGCCCUGGUGUCCCUGUGCAUCCAUGGGCUCCAGCAGCUCCUUUUCCCAAGUUUCCCUCAGUGCUGAGGGAUGGGUUUGGGUGGCCACAACAUCCCAGACCACAAAUUCCCACUUCUUUGAAGCAGAGAAUUAUGGAGUCCUGGAAUGGUUUGGGUGGGAAGGGAGCUCAAAGCAGAUCUGGUGCCACCCCUGCCACUGUCCCAGGCUGCCCCAAGCCCCAAUAUCCAACCUGGCCUUGGACACUUCCAGGGAUCCAGGGGCAGCCACAGCUGCUCUGGGAAUUCCAUCCCAGCCAGGAAUUCCUUCCCCAUAUUCCCUGAGUCAGUCUGAAGCCACUCCCCGUGUCCUGUCCCUCCACCCCUUGUCCCCAGCCCCUCUCCAGCUCUCCUGGAGCCCCUUUAGGCCCUGCAAGCUGCUCUGAGAUUUCCUCAGAUCCUUCCCUUUUCCAGAGCCUCUCCACCUUCCCAAGGAGGAAUUCCUUCCCUGUUUCCAACCUAAACUUCCCCACUUUUUUUCUGAACCCACUCCAGCUCCCAAGGAAACUUCCAGGAUGUUUCCCAGCCCAUCCCCAUGCCCAGAUCUCCCCCACGUGCACAACCUAAUAACGAGCGCACGCAAAACAUCCUAAACCCAGGAAAUUUAUGGAGCAUGACCCAAAUUGAAUUCUCCAUUACAGCAGGAUAAUUGAUUUUUUAGAAGAGAGAUUAAAUUUAUUUUCCGCCUCACUAACGAACAGCCAGAUUUCCCUUAAUUGCUUGGAAUGCAGAGUUGGGAUGAUUCAUUAAAGCCGGAACAUGCCUGGGUACAUUACACUGUGACUAAAGCUUCCCUGCUUGGAGCAAUUAAAGUGGAGAAAUUCGGGAUCUCGCAAGGAACUGAAUAAAAAUUCCAGCUCGGGAUGUCUUAUUAAGCUCCUCAAGGAAAAACUCACAAAUUCCCCCUGUCCUCCAGGGAAUCAUUUGGUGAUUCUUUUUUUUUUUUUUUUUUUUUUUUUUUUUUUUUUUUUUUUUUUUUCGGGGGGGGGGGGGGGGGGGGGGGGGGGGGUUUUUUUUUUUUUUUUUUUUUUUUUUCUCCCCCUGCCUGGCGUUGUUUUCUCCUCGUGCCAACCCCUAAAAAGAAGUGGUGUCUACGAGACAGAUUUCGUGCCUCGCUUCACAGUUUAAUUUUAUCAAUCACAACAUUUAGAACCCAAAUUGACAGCAGGGAGGCGACAUCCCCGGAUUCCGAGGGGAGGAAUUUUGGGCGGAAUCUCGGAACAUUUGGUAAUUAUAGACACAUUGCAAAAAUAAAGGUAGCGGUUGAGGAAAACAGGAGUGGAGAGGGAGGAGGCUGGGAGCUGGCAGGGAUAAAUGAGGAUUGUUUGGCACGUUUGAGUCCAAUCCCACCCAGGCUCCGAGGGCUCGUGGAAAAAGCGGAGAUGGAUGCGGAGCCCAGGCUGGGAUGGACACAGGGAUUGGGAUCCUUGGAAAACCAUUGGGAUGCUCAUUUCUGGCAUCACCUCACGGCAGGGUUAUCCAAGGGCAGGGGUGGGUGGGAUAUUGGGAAUAUUCCCUGUGAGGAUGGGCAGGCCCUGGCACAGAGCAGCUGUGGCUGCCCCUAGAGCCCUGGAAUGUCCAAGGCCAGGUUGGAUGGAGCUGGGAGCAGCCUGGGAUGGUGGGAGCUGUCCCUGCCCAUGGAAUGGGAUGAGCUUUAAGGUCCUUUCCAACCCAAAUCAUUCAAUUCAUCCGAACUGAGGAGGUCUGAAACUGGGAAGAACUGGACGGAGCAGGAUGCCGGAUCCGUGCCCAUGGAUAAAGGGGGAGGUCCCAGGACUUCCCAUUGGAUGGGGGGUUGGGGGGUUUCAGGCAAACCUUUCAGGCCUGGAUGUGCAGCCCUAAUGGGAACGAAGCCCUGAUGUUUUGUCUCCUGAAAAAUGGGACAUUCCUUCCCCAUCCUGAUCCCAGCCAGCUCUGUCCCUCUCUGCUGCCCUUGGAUGCUUUAAAAGCUGCAGGAUCCCGUGAGGAUUCCUGCUGCAGGAGGGAAUAAACCACUCCUGGAGGGAAUAAUCCACUCCAUGAGGGAAUAAACCACUCCAGGAGGGAAUAAACCACUCCAGGAGGGAAUAAUCCACUCCAGGAGGGAAUAAACCACUCCUGGAGGGAAUAAUCCACUCCAGGAGGGAAUAAUCCACUCCAGGAGGAGCUGCAGUGGGAUGACAGCAAUCCCAUCCUGAUCCAGGGAUUUUCCUUUUUUAUUUUUUUCCAGGAGAUCAAGGGACACUCUGGAGAAAGGAGCUGCCCUUUGUGUCCGUGCACUCGGAGCUGUUUCCCGGGAAGGGGGAGAUCAUUAAGGAAUAACGGAUGGCUCCACCCCGCUCGCGGUGCUGGGGAGCCUAAUUAGCGAUAACGAAGGAGGGAAUCAGCGGGGCUGCAGCCUGCAGAGGCCACAAAGUCAUUAAUUAUGCUAAUUAGGGGCGGCCUUUGUCCCUGCAGAAGGAGCCUUGGAGCUCCCGCCCCAACUCGGGGUGGGCUCACUCCCCGUCCCUGAAGAUUCCUCGUCCCGAUUUUUGCUUUGGGAUGGGUUUGGGGGGUUCUGGAGGGUCCCAGGGGAGCUCCUGGAGGGGAUGGAGCUGCAAGGCACGGCCAAGGAACUCUUCAUGUUGUUCCAAGGAUUUGCCAUUAAUUUUCAUCUCCAAUUGGAUCCAGCUUUCCUCCCAGAUCUUAAAGCUGGGAAGGAUUUGUUUUGGGAAUGUGGUGCAGGGGGUGGGAGUGUCACAUUCCUCUUCUAUUUACAGGAUAAUUAAGCUUGGAAUAUUAUAUUCCCAACCCCUGGAAGUGUUCCGUGGCAGGUUGGAGAGACCUGGAUUAGUGGAAAGUGCUUCACAGAGGGUGGAAUGGGAUGAGCUUUAAGGUCCUUUCCCAAAAGAAUUCCAGGAUUAAAAUAUUGUUCCUCCUUUGGAGAAAUAAAUUCAGUGGGGAAAUCCAGCUGAGUGUCCAUCCAAAUCCUGGGAAAUGAUGUGUGGGGUGCUGAGUGUUCAUCCCAUCCUAUCCCGUGGAUCCCAUUCCAUUCCAUCCCAUGGAUCCCAUCCCAUGGAUCUGAUUCCAUGCCAUGCCAGGGGGGGGGGGGGGGGGGGGGGGG
This is a long non-coding RNA of Ficedula albicollis (Collared flycatcher), 4083 nucleotides long. Lineage: Eukaryota; Metazoa; Chordata; Aves; Passeriformes; Muscicapidae. The record is from Ensembl.